ACACCCAAUGAUAUAUUUGAAGAGUUCGAAAGAACACAAAAGAUUAGAAACACAUAAACAUCAAACAUUUGGACCAUGCUAGCUAAUGCAAUUCACAGUCUUAGGAUGUUGCCUUAAGUUUUAACAGCUUGCAACAUGGAGACCAUAACUCUUGGGAUAAAAGGAUAGGCAUGAAAAUAAGCGUCCUAGAGGAGAAGCAGACAACGAUAUGAUUUAAUUUGCUGCUAUGCUGAAUUUCUGAUGACUUGAAGCAGGGUUUCUACUCAUCAAUCAACUAGGUUGCUCCGAAAUAAAUUCUCCUUGUGAAAUUCUGUUUCCAUGAGGAUGUCAGAAAGUUAGAGUUUCAGGUGUGAUUUCUAUUUUAUCUAUUUUGUUUUCCUUUAGUUUCUUUAUUUAUACUUCUUCAAUUAAGGAUAUGAUAUUGUAUAGUGAUUUAAAACCGUGUCAGAGCUGUUAUAAUACGCCAAACUGACUAUAGAAAGGAAUUGUGUAUGGCUGAAUAUAUCAAGCAGUUUAGGCAGAGAAUCCUAAAAGGGAGUUUAACUACUUGGUUGAACUUGAACUUGAUUACUCAAAAUAAAUGAUUUUUGCAAUUCUCUACUUAGUAUCAUGUAUCAUGAUGCCUGUGAGUGAGAAAAAAAUAGAUAUAGAGGGCUUAAGUUCUGCAACUGACUAAUUUGAAGCAUUUACUGAAAAUUUUCAUUGGGGAAAGCUACCUGCAAUUGUUUUUCUAGUACUCUCAUUGUAAGUAUUUUAAGGAUUUUAGAACUUAAACUCAUUUGACCCAUUAUAUUCAUGUACUUACAAAUAUGGAGUUAGCAAACUGUUAUAUUUCUCUUUUAUUGUGAAGCCAAAAGGUUCAUAUGUGCAAAUCAUGAAGGUUGGCGGGACGGCCACUUGGGGAACAUGUGGUGACCGAUGAGUAGAACUUGAAAAUUUUGGCAGUGAUAUGAUUUGGAGUUUUUUUUUUUUUUCAGGUUCCUGUAUAUAUAAAGUAUUUCCGGCCAUAAAAAAUUAUUUAGGACUACUGUGUUAGUGCCCAUGGUAUCCUCUGUGGAAAAAAACUUGGUAUUUUAGCUGCGCAAUGGUACUUUGAGAGAUAUUCUCAUUGUUUUGGAGAGGUUAUUCUACGUGUUUUCUCUCUUAAUUAGACUUUAUUCAAAUCACAUCUGAAAAGUAUUAUGUUCCCUCAUCUUAAAAAUAACC
This is a long non-coding RNA of Lycium ferocissimum, 1206 nucleotides long. RefSeq lists it as uncharacterized. The record is from RefSeq and is a predicted model, not a curated record. NCBI's taxonomy places the organism in Eukaryota, Viridiplantae, Streptophyta, Magnoliopsida, Solanales, Solanaceae. The transcript has 3 exons.